GAUGAACGCUGGCGGCGUGCUUAACACAUGCAAGUCGAACGGUGAACCCGGAGCUUGCUCUGUGGGAUCAGUGGCGAACGGGUGAGUAACACGUGAGCAACCUGCCCCUGACUCUGGGAUAAGCGCUGGAAACGGCGUCUAAUACUGGAUAUGUGACGUGACCGCAUGGUCUGCGUUUGGAAAGAUUUUUCGGUUGGGGAUGGGCUCGCGGCCUAUCAGCUGGUUGGUGAGGUAAUGGCUCACCAAGGCGUCGACGGGUAGCCGGCCUGAGAGGGUGACCGGCCACACUGGGAUUGAGAAACGGCCCAGACUCCUACGGGAGGCAGCAGUGGGGAAUAUUGCACAAUGGGCGAAGGCCUGAUGCAGCAACGCCGCGUGAGGGAUGACGGCCUUCGGGUUGUAAACCUUUUUUAGCAGGGAAGAAGCGAAAGUGACGGUACCUGCAGAAAAAGCGCCGGCUAACUACGUG
Molecule: ribosomal RNA, 469 nt
Filed under: uncultured bacterium
Lineage: Bacteria
Description: partial 16S ribosomal RNA
Rfam family: Bacterial small subunit ribosomal RNA
Source: RNAcentral